UGAGGAAUAUUGGACAAUGGGCGCAAGCCUGAUCCAGCCAUGCCGCGUGCAGGAUGAAGGCCUUCGGGUUGUAAACUGCUUUUUGUACGGAACGAAACGGCGAACUCUAAUAAAGUUUGCUAAUGACGGUACCGUAAGAAUAAGCACCGGCUAACUACGUGCCAGCAGCCGCGGUAAUACGUAGGGUGCAAGCGUUAAUCGGAAUUACUGGGCGUAAAGCGUGCGCAGGCGGUUAUAUAAGACAGAUGUGAAAUCCCCGGGCUCAACCUGGGACCUGCAUUUGUGACUGUAUAGCUAGAGUACGGUAGAGGGGGAUGGAAUUCCGCGUGUAGCAGUGAAAUGCGUAGAUAUGCGGAGGAACACCGAUGGCGAAGGCAAUCCCCUGGACCUGUACUGACGCUCAUGCACGAAAGCGUGGGGAGCAAACAGGAUUAGAUACCCAAGUAGUCCCUGAGCGGGCUGGCAAGGCGCAU
Molecule: ribosomal RNA, 473 nt
Filed under: uncultured bacterium
Lineage: Bacteria
Description: bacterial SSU rRNA
Rfam family: Bacterial small subunit ribosomal RNA
Source: RNAcentral